RNAcentral lists this small RNA (600 nucleotides) under Pan troglodytes (chimpanzee). Its description in RNAcentral is "retained intron". The record is from RNAcentral. Lineage: Eukaryota; Metazoa; Chordata; Mammalia; Primates; Hominidae.
CCUUAAGCAGUGAAACACAGUACUCAGUUGAUACUCGAAGACCGGCCCCCCAAAAGGCUCUGUAUUCCACAGCCAUGGAAUCCAUCCAGGGAGAGGCUCGACGGGGUGGUACCAUGGAGACUGAUGACCAUAUGGGUGGCAUCCCUGCCCGGAAUAGUAAAGGGGAAAGGCUUCUGCUUUAUAUUGGCAUCAUUGACAUUCUACAGUCUUACAGGUUUGUUAAGAAGUUGGAGCACUCUUGGAAAGCCCUGGUACAUGACGGAGACACUGUCUCAGUGCAUCGCCCAGGCUUCUACGCUGAACGGUUCCAGCGCUUCAUGUGCAACACAGUAUUUAAGAAGAUUCCCUGUAAGUGGUUUCUACCAAUUGACUGCCUACUCCUGCCCAGUGGCUCCCUUACCCCAAGAGAACAGAGGGCAGGACACCUCUGGUAGGGAGCUGCCAAUGCCAGAGGCCUCUCCUUCCACCUACAUCCCAUGAGAGCCAUUUCUUGUCCUUUGUGUUAGUCUGUCAUAGUCAUUUCCAAGUUGCUGUUUCCCCCUUGGCUCUUCCUGCAUAUGUCAAUGAGGUGAGGGCCAUUUCUGGGGAAUUGGGAUUUGC